UUCUGAUUUUUCCGAAAUCUUGAAUUCUUUGAUCUUUGUCAAUUCGCUUCGAUUCUUCAAGACUCCGACUAACUUCACGAAACUUGCCAAUACAAAAUCCUUAACAAUCUCCCCCUUUGGCAAUUUCGUGACAAAACUCACACAAACUCAAAAAUUACAAAUAAACGAAGUUCAAUUGUCAUCACCAAAACAUUGAACUUCUCGCGUGUAAUCCAAAUACAAUUUGAAACUCAAAAUUACAUCAAAACUCCUAAAACAAACUCUAUGACUUAGACAACAACUAGGAGUCUUGAAGUCUUGAAAUCCUGCAAAACAAAUC
RNAcentral lists this long non-coding RNA (319 nucleotides) under Ananas comosus (pineapple). Its description in RNAcentral is "long non-coding RNA (ACOM_LNC044408)". Lineage: Eukaryota; Viridiplantae; Streptophyta; Magnoliopsida; Poales; Bromeliaceae. The record is from RNAcentral.